GCUUAUGAAAACUCUAGUUGGAGAACAAGAGGAUGAUGGACAGCUCUACUAAAGAAAUAGAGGACAAGCCUUCUAAGGGCAAGAGAAGAAAAGGCUUUGAGGUUAAGAAAAGUGCUGAGCAAGGGCAGAUGAUUCUUCAAACUCUCAAGCGAGCAAUUGGUGUUUGAGUCUGAAAUUGGGUGAUAUAAGAAGAUCAUAAGCCAAAGAGCGUACCAGUUCUGCCAUGGAUAUGAACCCCAAUUGACGUCAAUGCCUUGGAAAAAAAAACCCCUCUAUUCUGCCUUGACCUGACCCCAGGUUGGUCUGAAAGACCCCAAAACAAAACCAAAAAAAAAAAAAAACAA
Long non-coding RNA from Rosa rugosa (rugosa rose), 344 nucleotides. RefSeq lists it as uncharacterized. The transcript has 4 exons. NCBI's taxonomy places the organism in Eukaryota, Viridiplantae, Streptophyta, Magnoliopsida, Rosales, Rosaceae. The record is from RefSeq and is a predicted model, not a curated record.